This is a long non-coding RNA of Syngnathoides biaculeatus (alligator pipefish), 383 nucleotides long. RefSeq lists it as uncharacterized. The transcript has 3 exons. NCBI's taxonomy places the organism in Eukaryota, Metazoa, Chordata, Actinopteri, Syngnathiformes, Syngnathidae. The record is from RefSeq and is a predicted model, not a curated record.
UGUUUAUUAAGGAGGAUGGUGUUUGAAAUUGAGUCAAAGGCCGCACUCGAACAAAAUAUCAGAAUGGAAAGUGAACCGUGAUCAGCGAGGAGAUCAGUGAAAACUCUUGUGCAGUCAAGAAAAUGGUAACUGCAAUUCAUUCUUUGGACCCUGAUGGAGAUAGUCGACCAGCUCGUCUGGAAUGAACAUUGGCGAAGUUGCAUUGGUGAGAGGCCUGAGCAGCUUUUCCCACCGUAGGUCAAGUGGUUACUCUUUUGCCGUGACCAUUUAUCAACUGAAGUGAGGAUUUAGGCUGCCUGUGCUGUUUUGAUAAACCACAUAGACUGUAAAAGCGAUGACAGAUUCCACAGAAUCUGAUAUAAAGAGGAGGCUGGUGAAAUGGG